RNAcentral lists this ribosomal RNA (554 nucleotides) under Atheresthes evermanni (Kamchatka flounder). RNAcentral describes it as "partial 16S ribosomal RNA". It matches the Rfam family "Bacterial large subunit ribosomal RNA", at positions 1851 to 2587 of the family's 2925-position model. Lineage: Eukaryota; Metazoa; Chordata; Actinopteri; Pleuronectiformes; Pleuronectidae. The record is from RNAcentral.
GGUCCCGCCUGCCCAGUGACAUUCUAGUUCAACGGCCGCGGUAUUUUGACCGUGCAAAGGUAGCGUAAUCACUUGUCUUUUAAAUGAAGACCCGUAUGAAUGGCAUGACGAGGGCUUAACUGUCUCCUUUCCCAAGUCAGUGAAAUUGACCUCCCCGUGCAGAGGCGGGGAUACACCCAUAAGACGAGAAGACCCUAUGGAGCUUUAGACAUAAGGACAUACUAUGUUAAAUACACCCUGUUAAGGGCUUGAACCAUAUAGAAUCUGCCCCACUGUCUUCGGUUGGGGCGACCAUGGGGAACACAAAACCCCCACGCGGGAAGGGGAGCACACCCCAAAACUUCUUUCCCUCCCACAAACCAGGGCGACAGCCCUAAUCAGCAGAAAUUCUGACCUAAGUGAUCCGGUAAUACCGAUCAACGAACCAAGUUACCCUAGGGAUAACAGCGCAAUCCCCUUCUAGAGCCCGUAUCGACAAGGGGGUUUACGACCUCGAUGUUGGAUCAGGACAUCCUAAUGGUGCAGCCGCUAUUAAGGGUUCGUUUGNNCAACGA